Long non-coding RNA from Perca flavescens (yellow perch), 579 nucleotides. RefSeq lists it as uncharacterized. The transcript is spliced from 3 exons. The record is from RefSeq and is a predicted model, not a curated record. NCBI's taxonomy places the organism in Eukaryota, Metazoa, Chordata, Actinopteri, Perciformes, Percidae.
CUGCAAUUGUGUGGAUUCUCCUGAUUCUCCAGGUUGAUAGCCAGGCACAAGUUCCUGUCCUUCACGGAGUAAACUGGGGCAGAUUGACGGGGGACCAGUCCAGUCACUGUUUUCUACGGUUAUUUUACCAUUUUGUUUCUUUUUGGUUAUUUUCCUUGGUUGAUUAUUUUCUUGUGAUUUCCUUUACAAGUGGUCUUUAGAUAUACUUUUUAUGGAAGUUUUGACAUAGGUUUCUCUCCUCAAUUUAUGUAUGCUCACAGCUUGAUCCUGUACAAGGCUGGGUCCGUGUCGACACACUGCCUCCUCGUGGUGAGACUGCACUGGGUGACACUCUGUUACGGUGUGUAUGUAGCCUCGACACUGUAGAUUUUGUAGUGACUUGCAUGAUAUUUUGUAGUGACUUGCAUGAUAUUUUGUAGUGACUUGCAUGAUAUUUUGUAGUGCCUUGCAUGAUACUUUGUAGUGAAUCGUGUAGAAAUAAGCGUGUAGUGCAUGUCCUUGUCGGUGCUGGGCCUUGUGUCUCCUCUUUCUGUCUCCCGGAGUGGUGUGCGCGUGCCGACCCAACCUUCCUACUUUGAG